AGAAAGGUGUCUGAGUGGUCGAAAGAGCUACCUUGGAAAGGUAGUGUACUGGUAACGGUACCGAGGGUUCGAAUCCCUUCCUUUCUGCAA
RNAcentral lists this transfer RNA (90 nucleotides) under Polaribacter sp. ALD11. Its description in RNAcentral is "tRNA-Ser". It matches the Rfam family "tRNA". Rfam says of the family: Transfer RNA (tRNA) molecules are approximately 80 nucleotides in length. Their secondary structure includes four short double-helical elements and three loops (D, anti-codon, and T loops). Further hydrogen bonds mediate the characteristic L-shaped molecular structure. tRNAs have two regions of fundamental functional importance: the anti-codon, which is responsible for specific mRNA codon recognition, and the 3' end, to which the tRNAs corresponding amino acid is attached (by aminoacyl-tRNA synthetases). tRNAs cope with the degeneracy of the genetic code in two manners: having more than one tRNA (with a specific anti-codon) for a particular amino acid; and 'wobble' base-pairing, i.e. permitting non-standard base-pairing at the 3rd anti-codon position. The record is from RNAcentral. Lineage: Bacteria; Pseudomonadati; Bacteroidota; Flavobacteriia; Flavobacteriales; Flavobacteriaceae.